AAAUAGAUACCCGGGUAGUCCACGCCGUAAACGAUGAGUGCUAAGUGUUAGAGGGUUUCCGCCCUUUAGUGCUGAAGUUAACGCACUAAGCACUCCGCCUGGGGAGUACGGCCGCAAGGCUGAAACUCAAAGGAAUUGACGGGGGGCCCGCACAAGCGGUGGAGCAUGUGGUUUAAUUCGAAGCAACGCGAAGAACCUUACCAGGUCUUGACAUCCUCUGCCAACCCUAGAGAUAGGGCGUUCCCCUUCGGGGGACAGAGUGACAGGUGGUGCAUGGUUGUCGUCAGCUCGUGUCGUGAGAUGUUGGGUUAAGUCCCGCAACGAGCGCAACCCUUGAUCUUAGUUGCCAGCAUUCAGUUGGGCACUCUAAGGUGACUGCCGGUGGCAAACCGGAGGAAGGUGGGGAUGACGUCAAAUCAUCAUGCCCCUUAUGACCUGGGCUACACACGUGCUACAAUGGAUGGUACAAAGAGCUGCGAACCCGCGAGGGUAAGCGAAUCUCAUAAAGCCAUUCUCAGUUCGGAUUGUAGG
RNAcentral lists this ribosomal RNA (531 nucleotides) under uncultured bacterium. Its description in RNAcentral is "bacterial SSU rRNA". It matches the Rfam family "Bacterial small subunit ribosomal RNA", at positions 776 to 1304 of the family's 1533-position model. The record is from RNAcentral.